Molecule: long non-coding RNA, 1686 nt
Organism: Melitaea cinxia (Glanville fritillary)
Lineage: Eukaryota; Metazoa; Arthropoda; Insecta; Lepidoptera; Nymphalidae
Exons: 2
Source: RefSeq, a predicted model, not a curated record
AAAAAGAUAUUCAAGAGUCCCUGAUACAUGCGAAGAUGAGCAACAAACUACAGUAGCUGGGAUGCAGCUGCGAAGGAAAAUUCCCACGCCUCCGCCACCCUGAUCCGUACGAUCAUUACGGAAUAGUUGGUAGCCAGGAAGAGAGCAACUAGUGGACGGGAUGGAUGGCUUAAGCCAGGUUUCAGAAACAAGUAUGCAAUCAGCAGUGCUAGUGCUAAAAGAUGUGAGAAGAUCAGAAUAGUGAGCAAGUAUGCUCUGCGCAUUGAUAUGCACCAAGGAUAAGAAAUUCCGCUGAUUCAUAAAAACAUGAGAUAAUUUGUCUGCUAGUGUUUCGGAAUCAGAAAUAGAGGUGUUGCAACUAUUUUCCGCACUGUCGAAUUCAUCCGAAGAACAAGUGAAAUAAUCAUCUUCAAUCAUAUUUUCUCUCAAAAUACUUUAAAAAAAGAUAUAUAUUAAAAAAAUAAUAAUUUAUAAAUAUGAAAUAAGACCCAAAUAAAAUACAAAAAAUAAAAUAAAAAAUAAUAAAGUAUAAAAAACGAAUACUGAAAUACUGAAACUAAAAUACACAGAUACUGACUGAAAUACAGUAUCCUCACCCAUGGGUUGACUGCAAUAAAUACAGUUAAAAACAAAAAAGGAAGAGAAAAAAAAAACAAUUAGUACACUAAAUUAUCAUACGCACAUGUUCCAUGUGGAGUAUCCGAACGCAAUUGUUUUGACAUCAGUGGCAGCAUUGACAUUUGACGUAUGAGAUAUAAUAACAAUAUUAACAAUAGAUAGCAGGUAGUAAUUAUAAAUUGAGUUUUUUAAAUAAUUAAUUGAUAGUUACAUACGUUAAAAAGUGAAAAAAGAAAGAAAAGAUGAAUAUACCCACAUGGAACCGAUAACUAUACAAAUUACAAAAACAACUCAGAGGUCGAUGUUAUCUUUGCUCGUGAUUUAUCAGGCAGCAGAACAAUUAUAACACCAUCUGCUGACCAACACUUUCUCAGUCCAAAGUGAUUGCGAGCCGAUGCGAAUAUGUCCUGACGAGCUUUGGUGAGGAACUCAGAAAGCUUAAUCUUAGUCCCCUUCAAUGAGGUCUUCGAUCUCCAAACCUUGGCACGAAGCUGUACAGAAGAAAAACGCACUAGAAUUGGCCGUGCAUUGUCUUUCUUGACACCCAACCUAUGACAGGCUUCGAAAGAAUCUAGGUUUACACCCGUCAGCUUCAUACGAUCGACUAGCACCUCGAGAGUCUUCUUCAUUAUAUCCUCACUAGGAUCCUCCUUGAUUCCAUGCAGAAGUAGAACUUUUCUGCGUGAGUGUGUCUCCACGCGAUCCAGGCCAAGUAUUAAGAGUUCUACUUGGGCCUUCAACACACUCAAAGCCUUCCACACCAAUGUCUUAAAUGUGAAGAACUCCGAACUAAGUGUCUUAACGGUGGGGUUGGAUGGUGCAGUAGCAGGGAUGUGCCUUUCGAACUCUUCCAUCCGGCUAUUUAUUGAAGAAGAGAGCUCCUCCAUGGUCUUCAAAACUAGUUCAACUGAUGAAUCCAUUUUGUUUAGUGAGUGAGAGUGUGAAGUAAUAGUCAACCAAGGCAAGGAAUAGUUAUUAUAGCAUAAAUAUAUAAAAUUAACACUAAAAAUUAGAAUAUAAUUGAGGAGCAGUUAAAAACACGUCUUGACAGUUUCAAUUCUACCCGCC